Molecule: long non-coding RNA, 4194 nt
Filed under: Zea mays
Lineage: Eukaryota; Viridiplantae; Streptophyta; Magnoliopsida; Poales; Poaceae
Description: long non-coding RNA (ZMAY_LNC003135)
Source: RNAcentral
GCGUAUCUCGCGUGUCGAUCACAUGUGUCGUGCGGAGUCCGCACGUGAUAAUAAAUUGUUUUCGCUUAUAAACACUCAUGUUAAUAAGGUUAAUUCGUCAUGUCAUAUAUUUUAGAUAAUCAACUUAAGGUUUGCGUGACUAAUAUUUAUUAGAUUAAUAUCUCGGUUAGAUUAAAUGUGUAAUGUUUAAUUUGCGCUUUUCAAAAUAAACAUUAAUAUGGCAAAUGUUAAUCUAACUACUUUUUAUUUACUUAAUAUUUGUUUAAUAUAAACGCGACAUCUAUUUAGUUUUUCUCGCCUGUCAGGCAUGCUGUUCCGCACGUGGUGCGUUCUCGUUCACGUUGGUCGCGCACGCUGUUUCGUGUGUCGUCAGUGUGCUAUGUCGCACGUGCCGCGCUUGGUGCGAGCGCUAGGGCGCGUGGUGCGGUCGUGUUGUUUCACGCGUUACGUAUUUCGUCUUGCUCCGCUAAUUCGUCCCGCUUAGUGUCGCUAAUGUUAUUUAACUUACUUAUUUAACUAAGAAUUGUUGGUGUGGUCAGCUAAUUAAAAUUGUGCGAUAGCUCUAGUUUUAUUUUAAAUAAAUAUCGAUUAACAUAAUCAGAUCAAACUAAAUGUUAUGAUUAGUACUCGUUUAGUUUAGACACGAUAACUUCUUGAACGUAGCUCCGCCUGUCGCGUUUCUUUUUCCUCGAGUGGUCGUAGUAACACGCUCUAUUUCGUUUUGUAUAUUUUAUUAUGUUCUUAUUUGAAUGGUGUAAUGUUCUUAUGCAUAUAUAUGUUUGUUUGUGCCUGUUUUAUUCGUUGUGCGUCGCGAAUAGAUUGCGAUCCGUUUCCGAGCUUCGAGGGAUCAAAGAUCGAGCGUUGGCGACCAAGUGAUCCAGUUCUUCGAGUUCCACAAGGUUGAAGACCCUGAGCAUCUGUUUGGUGAAGGCAAGUGUCCUCUGACCUAUUAUGUCCCAUUUACUUUAUAAUACACUGUCUCGCAUACUAUGAACAACCUAAGGAUUUACUAGCUUUCUAUUUACCUUGUCCUUGAUUUACCUUUUGGGUUACUAUGGUUAGCUACAUGCUAGCCCUUUACUUUAAUCAAUGAACAUGAUGAGAUACAAUGAUAAUACUAUGAUUUUAUUCUGGAUAUGAUGAUAUACUUGUGGCAUUUAAGGGGACUCGGGCUGUUUCUCGAGUACCUCUCCGUAAGGACCUGUUCGUUGAGAGACCACCCGGGAUAACAGUGCAACCAUGAGGGUGAAAUGGGAUGCCCUUAGCUAAUUAAUUGGAGGAACUAGAGGUGUAGUUGCUUCGCCGUCGUGCCGUCAAUGGGGUCCAGACACAGUGCUUGCUUUGCCGAGGCUGAGUGCCGAGGUUCUUUCGUUUUGCUUUUGUUAGUCACCCUCCUGCGGGGAGAGGUACUGUGUUUAUCAAACUGGAGAAACCUAACGGGCGGCUAUGACCUCUAGAGAAUCUUUGUAAAGGCUACGUAGUGAUACCCGGCCGGACCACCUAGGAAGUGAUCAAUGGGGAGUCAUUUGCCGGUCGGACCACCUAGGAAGUGAUCCGCGUGUCGUUCGCACUCGUUGUUUACGUUGUUUCGCGCGGUCGCGCGUGUUAUUAAAUCUGUUUCGACCCAUUCGCGUUACGUUAAUUUCAUAACAAUAUCGUCAACAUAUUAAUAAUAUUAUUUCAUCACGCCACAAGUCUAUAUUAUUUAAUUAGCUAUUCAUUCGAUACUUAUUAAAAUGACUUUUUAAUUAAAACUGUUUUAUAGUUUUUAACUCGCGCUUUUAUAAAUAAAUGUUAGUUAACUUGAUUAAUACCAUCUUAAAUACUUUUAAUUAAUUAUUUGUUUGUUGUUGUUCGCGCAUGACAUCGUUUGCGCGUCAUCGUGUUGUUCGUGCGCGUUGUUGCGCGCAUUGUUUCGCGUGUAAUCGUGCGCUGUUUGCGCAUCGCCGUUGUUCGUUCGCGUGUGUCGCGCGUGCUGUUCGUACGCGUUGUCACACGUCAUUUACGUGCGCGCGUGUGCCAUUUACACGUGUCGCUUACCUUGCCACGCAUUGUUAGCGCGUAUCUCGCGUGUCGAUCACAUGUGUCGUGCGGAGUCCGCACGUGAUAAUAAAUUGUUUUCGCUUAUAAACACUCAUGUUAAUAAGGUUAAUUCGUCAUGUCAUAUAUUUUAGAUAAUCAACUUAAGGUUUGCGUGACUAAUAUUUAUUAGAUUAAUAUCUCGGUUAGAUUAAAUGUGUAAUAUUUAAUUUGCGCUUUUCAAAAUAAACAUUAAUAUGGCAAAUGUUAAUCUAACUACUUUUUAUUUACUUAAUAUUUGUUUAAUAUAAACGCGACAUCUAUUUAGUUUUUCUCGCCUGUCAGGCAUGCUGUUCCGCACGUGGUGCGUUCUCGUUCACGUUGGUCGCGCACGCUGUUUCGUGUGUCGUCAGCGUGCUAUGUCGCACGUGCCGCGCUUGGUGCGAGCGCUAGGGCGCGUGGUGCGGUCGUGUUGUUUCACGUGUUACGUAUUUCGUCUUGCUCCGCUAAUUCGUCCCGCUUAGAGUCGCUAAUGUUAUUUAAAUUACUUAUUUAACUAAGAAUUGUUGGUGUGGUCAGCUAAUUAAAAUUGUGCGAUAGCUCUAGUUUUAUUUUAAAUAAAUAUCGAUUAACAUAAUCAGAUCAAACUAAAUGUUAUGAUUAGUACUCGUUUAGUUUAGACACGAUAACUUCUUGAACGUAGCUCCGCCUGUCGCGUUUCUUUUUCCUCGAGUGGCCGUAGUAACACGCUCUAUUUCGUUUUGCAUAUUUUAUUAUGUUCUUAUUUGAAUGGUGUAAUGUUCUUAUGCAUAUAUAUGUUUGUUUGUGCCUGUUUUAUUCGCUGUGCGUCGCGAAUAGAUUGCGAUCCGUUUCCGAGCUUCGAGGGAUCAAAGAUCGAGCGUUGGCGACCAAGUGAUCCAGUUCUUCGAGUUCCACAAGGUUGAAGACCCUGAGCAUCUGUUUGGUGAAGGCAAGUGUCCUCUAACCUAUUAUGUCCCAUUUACUUUAUAAUACACUGUCCCGCAUACUAUGAACAACCUAAGGAUUUACUAGCUUUCUAUUUACCUUGUCCUUGAUUUACCUUUUGGGUUACUAUGGUUAGCUACAUGCUAGCCCUUUACUUUAAUCAAUGAACAUGAUGAGAUACAAUGAUAAUACUAUGAUUUUAUUCUGGAUAUGAUGAUAUACUUGUGGCAUUUAAGGGGACUCGGGCUGUUUCUCGAGUACUUCUCCGUAAGGACCUGAUCGUUGAGAGACCACCCGGGAUAACAGUGCAACCAUGAGGGUGAAAUGGGAUGCCCUUAGCUAAUUAAUUGGAGGAACUAGAGGUGUAGUUGCUUCGCCGUCGUGCCGUCAAUGGGGUCCAGACACAGUGCUUGCUUUGCCGAGGCUGAGUGCCGAGGUUCUUUCGUUUUGCUUUUGUUAGUCACCCUCCUGCGGGGAGAGGUACUGUGUUUAUCAAACUGGAGAAACCUAACGGGCGGCUAUGACCUCUAGAGAAUCUUUGUAAAGGCUACGUAGUGAUACCCGACCGGACCACCUAGGAAGUGAUCAAUGGGGAGUCAUGAUCCCCGGGCAAAACGGGAAUCACGACUCAUGGGUAAAGUGUGCGACCUCUGCAGAGGGUAAUGAAACUGAUAUAUCAGUCGUGCUCACGGUUAAGAGCAGCCUUGGGAUCCUCUUUGAUUAGAGAUACAUAUGAUCGAGAUACAAUGGUUCUAUUUAUGGUUUUGGUCUGAUGAUGAUAAUGAUGCUUCCUCGAUGAGGAAAUGGUUCACAGGUUGGUUAUAUGAUAAAACUUGGCUUCCACUAAUAAUAAACACCUGGCCAACUAAAAGCAACUGCUUGAGCUUAACUCCACAUAAAGCUAGUCCACCUCAGCCAAACAUGACAUUUGCUGAGUACGUUGAUGUGUACUCACCCUUGCUUUCACAAAAUAUCAGGUUGCCUUUGGUGCAAUCUAUGCUCAGGUAAAUAAGAAGGCGUCGAGGCAGUUCUCCAGGAGUUCCAGGACUUCGACGAGUUCGAGGAUUAGGCUAGCGACCUCCCCCAGUCAGCUGCCUGUGGUGGGUUUAUUUACAUUGGCUACGUUUCGAUUCUGUGUACUUUGAUUCGUAUUAUGUAAAUGACUCUAAUCUUUAAUAUCAUUAUUUAUUCUUUAUUGUUAUUCGAAGC